RNAcentral lists this long non-coding RNA (591 nucleotides) under Homo sapiens (human). RNAcentral's name for it is "HSALNT0041293". Lineage: Eukaryota; Metazoa; Chordata; Mammalia; Primates; Hominidae. The record is from RNAcentral.
UGCGAUCUCAACUCACUGCAACCUCUGCCUCCCGGGUUCAAGCGCUUCUCCUCCCUCAGUCUCCUGAGUAGCUGGGAUUAUGGGCACCCGCCACCAUGCCCUGCUAAUUUUUGUAUUUUUAGUAGAGAAGGGUUUUUGCCAUGUUGCCUAGGCUGGUCUCAAACCCCUGACCUCAAGUGAUCUGCCCGUCUUGGCCUCCCAAAGUGCUGGGGUUACAGGUGUGAGCCACUGUGCCUGGCCAGCUGCACUUCUUACUCUCCUCCUAAGAGAAGCCCGAUUUUGUUUUCAGAGUGCUCCUUGUGUGAACUGGGGUUGUGGGAAGGAGUGACAUUUCCCUUCCUUUGUUCAGACGGGGUGAAGACUUAACUUACAGGUAAGGGAGGCCCUUGACUGACGUGGGGUGGGAACUGUUUCGAGCUGUCCUUAUCUCUGGGCCUGUUUCCUGACCUGUGAGAUGGGCCUGUUUCCUGACCCGUGAAAUGAGAAGGUUGGGUGGGAUCAGUUUCCCAGGCUUGCCUGUGGUGAGUAGCCCCCGGAGUGCUCAUUCAAAAGCCACUCUGCUCUCCCGAAUGAGAAUGUUUAGGAGUGAAC